GCUGGGCAUGGUGGCGGGUGCCUGUAAUCCCAGCUACUCGGGAGGCUGAGAUAGGAGAAUCACUUGAACCCAGGAGGCUGAGGCUGCAGUGAGCCGAGAUCGCGCCACUGCACUCCAGCCUGGACGACAAAGGGAGACUCCAUCUCAA
RNAcentral lists this non-coding RNA (148 nucleotides) under Pan troglodytes (chimpanzee). The record is from Rfam by way of RNAcentral. Lineage: Eukaryota; Metazoa; Chordata; Mammalia; Primates; Hominidae.